UUUUGUUCUUCUCUUCUUUCAGGCUGCUGAACAAAAAACCAAAGGAACCAGCAGAGGCUUUUUCCAUAAGAUUAGAAAAUGUGUUCCAGCCCACAAAUCAGGCUCCUGAAGACCUGGCCUCCUGUUUCCAGGACGCUCUUAACGGCAUAAUUUCUGAUUUGACUGCUGUUGCUAUCUUUUUGUCAGUUUUUAUGGAGCCAGCCAGACUUUUCACCUUUAGGAGGCUGGACAGGCUCUCAUGAACUUCUGUUGUGAAGCACAUGAGUUACUAACCUGGAGAACGGAUGAUUCUUCAACUCCAUUACAAAUUUAAAUGCCACCUUGAGGUCAUCACAGGACUGGAUAUAUCCCUUUAGAUGAUCCAAAAGGGAUUUAGAUUUAAC
Molecule: long non-coding RNA, 383 nt
Filed under: Ficedula albicollis (Collared flycatcher)
Lineage: Eukaryota; Metazoa; Chordata; Aves; Passeriformes; Muscicapidae
Description: lncRNA (ENSFALG00000026360.1)
Source: RNAcentral